This 37-nucleotide ribosomal RNA is filed under the name Haematococcus lacustris. Its description in RNAcentral is "partial 28S ribosomal RNA". Lineage: Eukaryota; Viridiplantae; Chlorophyta; Chlorophyceae; Chlamydomonadales; Haematococcaceae. The record is from RNAcentral.
CCUGAGCUCAGGCAAGAACACCCGCUGAACUUAAGCA